Molecule: transfer RNA, 75 nt
Filed under: Bacillota bacterium
Lineage: Bacteria; Bacillati; Bacillota
Also listed under: 4 other names
Description: tRNA-Arg
Rfam family: tRNA
About the family: Transfer RNA (tRNA) molecules are approximately 80 nucleotides in length. Their secondary structure includes four short double-helical elements and three loops (D, anti-codon, and T loops).
Source: RNAcentral
GCUCCCGUGGUCAAAUGGAUAUGACACAUCCCUCCGAAGGAUGUAUUGGCGGUUCGAUUCCGCCCGGGAGUGCCA